AUGGGUGAGUUUUGCAAUAUCCAUUGCUUCAAUUUGGCGAUACUGGCUAAAAAAGUGUGGCAUCUUCUUGAGAACCAAGAAUCUUUAUGUACUCCAAUUUUGAAAGCCAAGUAUUUCCCAGAUGAUGAUUUGCUGAAUACAAAACUAAAAAAAGGCUCAUCUUUUACUUUGCAAAGUAUAAUGGUGGGAGUAAAUUCUUUGAAUCACCGUUAUAUAUGGAGAGUUGGUAAUGGGUAG
This 237-nucleotide ribosomal RNA is filed under the name Triticum aestivum (bread wheat). RNAcentral describes it as "partial small subunit ribosomal RNA". Lineage: Eukaryota; Viridiplantae; Streptophyta; Magnoliopsida; Poales; Poaceae. The record is from RNAcentral.